Molecule: long non-coding RNA, 929 nt
Organism: Thunnus maccoyii (southern bluefin tuna)
Lineage: Eukaryota; Metazoa; Chordata; Actinopteri; Scombriformes; Scombridae
Exons: 3
Source: RefSeq, a predicted model, not a curated record
UAUUGUGCCCCUACCCUUUUGUUUUUAGCCAAUCCUGAGACAAUGUGUAGCUUGGUGGACCAAUGGUGUGGCUGCGAGGAGGAUUCAGACGUCUGGGGAACGGAAAGAUAAACGGCUGGAGGGAAACACGAAGGAGUAGAAAGCAGGGAGUACAGAAGAGGGUAGAGGAGAGAGCAUGCAACAGGAGGAACAGGCGCCAGCGGUAUGAGAGCUCCUGAGGGAAACAACAGGGAACAACUUUUAGCCCUGCCUGUGGUUCAGGUAAAUGGACUCUGCAGUUGUUUUCCUUGCAUCUCCCCUUGUGUCUAACGUGGGAGGGAUUAAGACACCAGUCAAAGAUGCAAGUGAUGGAAACAAGGAUGCAAUUAAGGGACUUGGGAUGUACCAUCACUCAUGAUGAUUCUGAUUCUGGUGCAGGCAGAUGAUAUUCCCAUUGCUGAUUCCACCUACAGAGCUCUGAUUGGUUCUGUUAUUUUUCCAACUGGAGGAAAACAACAAGCAUCUAUGUGCACAACCCCAGUAAUAUUUGAAUUUAUGAAAAAAAAUCUGUGAUGUGGGCAGCGUCGUCCCUGUAAGGUGACCUUGUCUUAGGUUUUGUACACUUUAUGGGUAUUAAAUAAACAAGCACCAGUGUUUGAAAGCUGCAUGCCAUAAUGUGUUACUAUAGUAAGUUUUCUUGCACCAAAUGUUAACUUGGGGAUAGAGGCUGGUGGAGUAAAACUUCUUUGUACUACUAGAGUACAAUUGUAAAUGAUGAGUGUGUUGACUUAGAUAGGUAAGUUUCUUUAACUUAGCUUAACUUGACUGGCGCAGACAUAUGAGAUUUGCAACAUUUUGGUUCUACCUUAUUCUGUAAGACACAGCACUACGUCCUAUCGCAAAGUUUACAGAUCUGGCUUUGCUACUGCUCUUUAUCGGAAGUUAAUCUG